GAUGAAGAACGUAGCGAAAUGGGAUAAGUAAUGUGAAUUGCAGAAUUCAGUGAAUCAUCGAAUCUUUGAACGCACAUUGCGCCCGCUAGUAUUCUGGCGGGCAUGCCUGUCCGAGCGUCAUUUCAACCCUCAAGCCCCCGGGCUUGGUGUUGGGGAUCGGCGAGCCUCCGCGCCCGCCGUCCCCUAAAUCUAGUGGCGGUCUCGCUGUAGCUUCCUCUGCGUAGUAGCACACCUCGCACUGGGAAACAGCGCGGCCACGCCGUUAAACCCCCAACUUCUGAACGUUUGACCUCGGAUCAGGCAGGAAUACCCGCUGAACUUAAGCAUAUCAAUAAGCGGAGGA
This 343-nucleotide unclassified non-coding RNA is filed under the name soil metagenome. RNAcentral describes it as "partial contains 5.8S ribosomal RNA, internal transcribed spacer 2, and large subunit ribosomal RNA". The stretch from base 1 to 120 matches the Rfam family "5.8S ribosomal RNA", at positions 35 to 154 of the family's 154-position model. The record is from RNAcentral.